UUGAGCUCUCUCACUUUACGACAUUUUCAACUCACGAGACUUUCUGCUACCUGAUGCAAGCAGCGCCGAAUGAAAUAAAAUAAUAAAUAAAAUAAAAAGCUCAAAACAAAUUAGACAUAUCUUUAUACCCGAAUCUAACAAUGCAUCUAACUAAAUAAGAAAACUUGUCUACUUUACCAUGCAAUAUCAGAUGUGUGAAAAUGCUUUUUGCAAACAUAUCAGAUGUGUUGAAAAUAGAAAUUAGCAUAUCUGAUAUCCCAAGAAAAAAGAAUUUUUUUUUU
Molecule: non-coding RNA, 281 nt
Organism: Schizosaccharomyces pombe (fission yeast)
Lineage: Eukaryota; Fungi; Ascomycota; Schizosaccharomycetes; Schizosaccharomycetales; Schizosaccharomycetaceae
Source: the annotation of a GenBank genome assembly